UUAUUGUUCCGCAUGACGCGCGUCAUAAUUUCCCAAUUAUUUUCUUCUUCCAGUUGCUUCUUCCUUCUUUGUUCAAGGUAAACGAAAAAAAACCAGAGAUGCUAGUUUUCACGCUAACCCAUGCGUAAACUUAAACAAUUUUAACUUUCACGGAUAAGUUAGAGAUGAAGAAACAUGGUGAUAAAGAUACUGAUUAUAACGAAUGCAGUGGCGACGAUGAUUUCAUGAAGCCGAAGAAGAAAAAGAAAACCAGUGCCUACGAUGAUUUCGUGAAGUCGAAGAAGAAAAAGAAAACCGAAGACUCAAGUAAAGAUGGUGCUAAAGGACGCUAAAUCAGGGUUGUCUUGGAAGUUCGCCGACGAUGAUUUUGGUUCUCCAAAAACGCAGAUGAUUUCGAAGGGGAAAUGGUGAUUAUCACUAAUUUCUGAAAACUAAAAUUUCACUCGAGCUAGCGCCAAUUGUAUAACUGGAGUUUUUGCUAUGCCUAUGAACUACUCAAGUGAAAAAUAAUGUUUUCCUCACCACUUUCUAAGUUGAAAGAUCCAACAUUCAUAGUAUUCACAUCUGAACACCUAUUUCUAGUGAAAUACCCAACUUUCACUACAUUUUCAUGUGAAAAAUCUAUUUAUCACCUAUUUCGUUGUGGAAGAUCCAACUUUCAUACAACAUGAGUAUGUUUCAUGUUUUAUGAAGUAAUAAUUACACUGAAUUGAUGGUAUAUACAUU
Long non-coding RNA from Papaver somniferum (opium poppy), 726 nucleotides. RefSeq lists it as uncharacterized. The record is from RefSeq and is a predicted model, not a curated record. The transcript is spliced from 3 exons. NCBI's taxonomy places the organism in Eukaryota, Viridiplantae, Streptophyta, Magnoliopsida, Ranunculales, Papaveraceae.